CCCUAGAUGUUCUGGGCCGCACGCGCGCUACACUGAUGCAUUCAACGAGCCUAUCCUUGACCGACAGGUCCGGGUAAUCUUUGAAUCUGCAUCGUGACGGGGAUAGAUUAUUGCAAUUAUUAAUCUUCAACGAGGAAUGCCUAGUAGGCGCAAGUCAUCAGCUUGCGUCGAUUACGUCCCUGCCCUUUGUACACACCGCCCGUCGCUCCUACCGAUUGGGUGUGCUGGUGAAAUGUUCGGAUCGGCCGUUUGUCGCGGUUUCCGCGUCAUGUGGCUGAGAAGUUCAUUAAACCCUCCCACCUAGAGGAAGGAGAAGUCGUAACA
This 324-nucleotide ribosomal RNA is filed under the name uncultured eukaryote. Its description in RNAcentral is "partial 18S ribosomal RNA". It matches the Rfam family "Eukaryotic small subunit ribosomal RNA", at positions 1471 to 1796 of the family's 1831-position model. The record is from RNAcentral.